This 253-nucleotide ribosomal RNA is filed under the name uncultured bacterium. RNAcentral's name for it is "partial 16S ribosomal RNA". It matches the Rfam family "Bacterial small subunit ribosomal RNA", at positions 524 to 776 of the family's 1533-position model. The record is from RNAcentral.
UACGAAGGGGGCUAGCGUUGCUCGGAUUGACUGGGCGUAAAGGGCGCGUAGGCGGUUCGUACAGUCAGACGUGAAAUUCCUGGGCUCAACCUGGGGGCUGCGUUUGAUACGUGCGGACUUGAGUGCGGAAGAGGGUCGUGGAAUUCCCAGUGUAGAGGUGAAAUUCGUAGAUAUGGGGAGGAACACCGGUGGCGAAGGCGGCCAUCUGGACGGUAACUGACGCUGAGACGCGAAAGCGUGGGUAGCAAACAGG